UCAGGUGCCUAUAUCGAUGGUGUCCACCUCUUCCCAUUCCGAACAGAGAAGUUAAGCCCAUCCGAGCCGAUGGUACUGCGGUAACACGUGGGAGAGUAGGUCGGUGCCUAGC
Corchorus olitorius is the source of this 112-nucleotide non-coding RNA. Lineage: Eukaryota; Viridiplantae; Streptophyta; Magnoliopsida; Malvales; Malvaceae. The record is from Rfam.